Molecule: long non-coding RNA, 211 nt
Filed under: Nicotiana benthamiana
Lineage: Eukaryota; Viridiplantae; Streptophyta; Magnoliopsida; Solanales; Solanaceae
Description: long non-coding RNA (NBEN_LNC032188)
Source: RNAcentral
UGUGAUUGGCUUUAUUCUUUCCUAUUCCUAGUUUCAGUUUUAAAUUUUCACACCUAAGUUCUAGGACACUGUUAUCAAGUUCAAGAACCCGAUUCUUCAACUCAGCAUUUGUAUUAUCACUCUCAUUAGCCCUAGACUGUAGACUUUUGCAUUUUUCUUUUAGGAUCACACAUUCCCUAGACAGAACUUCUUUCUCAUUGUUAAUUAUUUC